UACGGGGGGGGCAAGCGUUGUUCGGAAUUACUGGGCGUAAAGGGCUCGUAGGCGGCCAACUAAGUCAGACGUGAAAUCCCUCGGCUUAACCGGGGAACUGCGUCUGAUACUGGAUGGCUAGAGGUUGGGAGAGGGAUGCGGAAUUCCAGGUGUAGCGGUGAAAUGCGUAGAGAUGUGGAGGAACACCGAUGGCGAAGGCAGCCUCCUGGGCCAACACUGACGCUCAUGCACGAAAGCGUGGGGAGCAAACAGG
Molecule: ribosomal RNA, 253 nt
Filed under: uncultured bacterium
Lineage: Bacteria
Description: partial 16S ribosomal RNA
Rfam family: Bacterial small subunit ribosomal RNA
Source: RNAcentral